This 78-nucleotide microRNA precursor is filed under the name Schistosoma margrebowiei. RNAcentral's name for it is "mir-3492 microRNA precursor family". It matches the Rfam family "mir-3492 microRNA precursor family". The record is from Rfam by way of RNAcentral. Lineage: Eukaryota; Metazoa; Platyhelminthes; Trematoda; Strigeidida; Schistosomatidae.
AGCCCUCUGUAUCCGUGCCGAGAUUUCGUCACACACCAGAACAAAAAAGCUAAUGAGACUCCCAGGAUAAGUGAAGCG